CCCAGGACCAUCCUACACUCAGCCAUGAAAGCAGGGGCUACGCAUGGGGUACAGCAGUGAAGGGGCGACCCGAAAUUCCCAUUACUUGGUGGAGGAAAUAUGCUGAACUCAUUUUUAAGGAACCUAUAGCUCUGUGAGUCAGAGGUCGUCAGUGGGUCUCGUGGGCUAAGGUCAAGGUGUUAGCAGCACUGCAUUUCUUUCCUGGAGCCUCUGGGGGGGAUCGUUUUCUCGCCUUCGUCAGCUUUUGGAGGCCAGGUUCCCUGGUUCACGUCCUGCUUCCACCCUCAAAGCAGCAGUGGACAGACAUGUCUGGCUGAAUCUUUCUCAGACAUGUUAAAUUGGUUGACUUGCCUGGGGUCAUACCCUCAAGGAGAGAGAAAAUCAGGGCCUGAGUCACCUCUACUGAUCCAAACUACAGUCUCUCCCCACUAGUCCAUGACUCCCCCAGAGCACACAGGACAGAGAGCCUAGAACUGGGACUCCGGAGACACCGAAGAUAAACAUUCACAUCAUCGGAGUCAGUUGGGGGAAAAGAAGCAGAGUGCCAAACAGACUCUUUUGGACUAAGUAAGGAUCAUCCUGGAGGUCCUAUCUGAUGCAGUGAAACAAGAAAAAAGGAGUAAAAAGUAUGUUGUGGAAAGAAGGAAACGAAACUGUCAUUCCUUGAAGAUGAGAAAAAUUAUCUUCAUGAUGCACCUUUUAAAAGACCCAUUAUGGGGCGCCUGGGUGGCUCAGUUGGUUGAGCAACCGCUUUUGGCUCGCGUCAUGAUCCUGGAGUCCCUGGAUCGAGUCCCGCAUCGGGCUCCCUGCUCGGCGGGGA
Long non-coding RNA from Zalophus californianus (California sea lion), 820 nucleotides. RefSeq lists it as uncharacterized. NCBI's taxonomy places the organism in Eukaryota, Metazoa, Chordata, Mammalia, Carnivora, Otariidae. The transcript is spliced from 4 exons. The record is from RefSeq and is a predicted model, not a curated record.